UAGGGAAUAUUGCGCAAUGGGGGAAACCCUGACGCAGCGAUGCCGCGUGAGUGAAGAAGGCCUUUGGGUCGUAAAGCUCUUUCGAACGGGAAGAAGGGUCUGGUAGCUAAUAAUUGCCAGAUUUGACGGUACCGUAUGAAGAAGCACCUGCUAACUACGUGCCAGCAGCAGCGGUAAUACGUAGGGUGCAAGCGUUGUUCGGAAUUACUGGGCGUAAAGCGCGCGUAGGCGGGCUUGUAUGUCAAUUGUGAAAUCCCCGGGCUCAACCUGGGAAUGGCAGUUGAAACUGCAAGUCUUGAGUACCCGAGAGGAUGGGAGAAUAGCUGGUGUAGUAGUGAAAUACGUAGAUAUCAGCUGGAAUACCUGAGGCGAAGGCGCCUAUCUGGUGGUGUACUGACGCUGAGGCGCGAAAGCGUGGGGAGCAAACAG
This 429-nucleotide ribosomal RNA is filed under the name uncultured bacterium. RNAcentral's name for it is "bacterial SSU rRNA". It matches the Rfam family "Bacterial small subunit ribosomal RNA", at positions 355 to 775 of the family's 1533-position model. The record is from RNAcentral.